This 910-nucleotide ribosomal RNA is filed under the name uncultured bacterium. Its description in RNAcentral is "bacterial SSU rRNA". It matches the Rfam family "Bacterial small subunit ribosomal RNA", at positions 44 to 943 of the family's 1533-position model. The record is from RNAcentral.
AUGCUUUACACAUGCAAGUCGGACGGCAGCACAGAGAAGCUUGCUUCUUGGGUGGCGAGUGGCGAACGGGUGAGUAACAUAUCGGAACGUACCGAGCAGUGGGGGAUAACUAAUCGAAAGAUUAGCUAAUACCGCAUAUCUUCUGAGGAAGAAAGCAGGGGACCAUUUGGCCUUGCGCUGUUUGAGCGGCCGAUAUCUGAUUAGCUAGUUGGUGGGGUAAAGGCCUACCAAGGCGACGAUCAGUAGCGGGUCUGAGAGGAUGAUCCGCCACACUGGGACUGAGACACGGCCCAGACUCCUACGGGAGGCAGCAGUGGGGAAUUUUGGACAAUGGGCGCAAGCCUGAUCCAGCCAUGCCGCGUGUCUGAAGAAGGCCUUCGGGUUGUAAAGGACUUUUGUCAGGGAAGAAAAGGGCGGGGUUAAUACCCCUGUCUGAUGACGGUACCUGAAGAAUAAGCACCGGCUAACUACGUGCCAGCAGCCGCGGUAAUACGUAGGGUGCGAGCGUUAAUCGGAAUUACUGGGCGUAAAGCGGGCGCAGACGGUUACUUAAGCAGGAUGUGAAAUCCCCGGGCUCAACCUGGGAUCUGCGUUCUGAACUGGGUGACUAGAGUGUGUCAGAGGGAGGUAGAAUUCCACGUGUAGCAGUGAAAUGCGUAGAGAUGUGGAGGAAUACCGAUGGCGAAGGCAGCCUCCUGGGAUAACACUGACGUUCGUGCCCGAAAGCGUGGGUAGCAAACAGGAUUAGAUACCCUGGUAGUCCACGCCCUAAACGACGUCGAUUAGCUGUUGGGCAGCAUGACUGCUUAGUAGUGAAGCUAACGCGUGAAAUCGACCGCCUGGGGGGUACGGUCGCAAGAUUAAAACUCAAAGGAAUUGACGGGGACCCGCACAAGCGGUGGAUGAUGUG